This 285-nucleotide ribosomal RNA is filed under the name Triticum aestivum (bread wheat). RNAcentral describes it as "partial small subunit ribosomal RNA". Lineage: Eukaryota; Viridiplantae; Streptophyta; Magnoliopsida; Poales; Poaceae. The record is from RNAcentral.
AUGUCAGCGCUUGAGAUUAUUCAGUUUGUUAUGGCUGUAGAUUGCUAUCCAAAUGUCUUCGUUGCCAAUCGGAUCCUCUUAACAGUGCCUGUGACUGUAGCCUCGGCUGAAAGAAGUUUCUCUAAACUAAAACUACUGAAAAAUUAUUUAAGGUCAACUAUGUUGCAAGAUAGAUUGGAUGGCCUGGCUAUGUGCUGCAUUGAGAAGGACAUCUUGGAAAAUGUUGAUCUUGAUUGUGCCUUUAAUGACUUUGCAUCAAUAAAUGCCAGAAGAAACUUUUUUUGA